Molecule: ribosomal RNA, 301 nt
Filed under: uncultured bacterium
Lineage: Bacteria
Description: partial 16S ribosomal RNA
Rfam family: Bacterial small subunit ribosomal RNA
Source: RNAcentral
CAGCAGCCGCGGUAAUACGUAGGUGGCAAGCGUUGUCCGGAAUUAUUGGGCGUAAAGGGCUCGCAGGCGGUUUCUUAAGUCUGAUGUGAAAGCCCCCGGCUCAACCGGGGAGGGUCAUUGGAAACUGGGAAACUUGAGUGCAGAAGAGGAGAGUGGAAUUCCACGUGUAGCGGUGAAAUGCGUAGAGAUGUGGAGGGACACCAGUGGCGAAGGCGACUCUCUGGUCUGUAACUGACGCUGAGGAGCGAAAGCGUGGGGAGCGAACAGGAUUAGAUACCCCUGUAGUCCCUGUCUCUUAUAA